This 494-nucleotide ribosomal RNA is filed under the name uncultured bacterium. RNAcentral describes it as "partial 16S ribosomal RNA". It matches the Rfam family "Bacterial small subunit ribosomal RNA", at positions 29 to 523 of the family's 1533-position model. The record is from RNAcentral.
AUUGAACGCUGGCGGCAGGCCUAACACAUGCAAGUCGGGCGAACGAGGCUUCGGCCAAGUGAGCGGCGAACGGGUGAGUAACACGUAGGAAUCUGCCUGGCAGUGGGGGACAACGUCUCGAAAGGGACGGUAAUACCGCAUACGCCCUACGGGGGAAAGCAGGGGCUAGUCGGAGCUUGCGCUAUCAGAUGAGCCUGCUUCGGAUUAGCUAGUUGGUAGGGUAAAGGCCUACCAAGGCGACGAUCCGUAACUGGUCUGAGAGGAUGAUCAGUCACACCGGAACUGAGACACGGUCCGGACUCCUACGGGAGGCAGCAGUGGGGAAUAUUGGACAAUGGGGGCAACCCUGAUCCAGCCAUGCCGCGUGUGUGAAGAAGGCCUUCGGGUUGUAAAGCACUUUAGGUCGGGAGGAAGGUUCGCUGGCUAAUAUCCAGCGGAAUUGACGUUACCGACAGAAUAAGCACCGGCUAACUCCGUGCCAGCAGCCGCCGUAA